UUCUUUUUAAAAUCUCUAACAUGAUAGGGUAUUUAUAAUACUCCUAUCCUACUCCUACUCAACUAAUAAAAUAAAUAACCAAAUCCUAAUAUACUAAUGAAAUCCUUGACCCAAUUGUACUAGGGUAAGGUUACAAAAUUAUAAUCCAAAUAGAAUGAUGAAACACAUAACCUAAUUGCACUAGGUUAAUGUAUUAUGGCAAAAAUCCAGCUUUGUGUCUGUAAGUCCCAAAGUCUUCAGAAAUGCUGUUUUAGCCCGGGACAGAUUUUCCAUGCAGCAGAUUUAGUCCUUUAUGCGUCCAGCUCCUUUCCAUCUCGUUUGUGAGCUUUCUUUUGCGUCAAGUAAGCC
Molecule: long non-coding RNA, 348 nt
Filed under: Capsicum annuum
Lineage: Eukaryota; Viridiplantae; Streptophyta; Magnoliopsida; Solanales; Solanaceae
Description: long non-coding RNA (CANN_LNC018606)
Source: RNAcentral